UACGUAGGGGGCAAGCGUUGUCCGGAUUUAUUGGGCGUAAAGAGCGUGUAGGCGGCCAAGCAGGUCAGCUGUGAAAACUCGAGGCUCAACCUCGAGACGUCGGUUGAAACCGCUUGGCUAGAGUCCGGAAGAGGAGAGUGGAAUUCCCGGUGUAGCGGUGAAAUGCGCAGAUAUCGGGAGGAACACCAGUGGCGAAGGCGGCUUCUUGGCCUGUUCUUGACGCUGAGGCGCGAAAGCUAGGGGAGCAAACGGG
Molecule: ribosomal RNA, 253 nt
Filed under: uncultured bacterium
Lineage: Bacteria
Description: partial 16S ribosomal RNA
Rfam family: Bacterial small subunit ribosomal RNA
Source: RNAcentral